CAAGCCUUGCACUCUCCCACUGAGCCAUGUGGCGCGUGGCGGUUGACGCGUGUGACUUGUCGAUCGGGUAAGUUGAAGAGGCGACUGGCUCGUGGGUUUGUGGGUCGAUUCCCAUGGAUAUGAGACGUUUCUUCAGGUGUAAAGGGGCCACGCUUAAUAUCAGGUCUGAGGUAGUUUGUCCAUCUUAGCCUGCAACUCUUACCACAACGAAGAAGGCCUGAAAGGGAAAGCAAAAAUCUUAUAAUCAUCUGAAACAAAUGUGUGGAAGGCAAGUUAUAUUAUCACUUAUUCUUUGGUUGUUUCACAAUAAUUUAAGGGAAAUGCAUAACAAAAUCUAUAAGUGAAGAAAAAUCUCCAAAUGGAUGAGUGAUUUUAUCACUUAGCAAGCUUAGCUGCAACAUAUCCUAAUGAAAUUGAAGGUAAAGUAUAAACAGAACAAGGGGAGAGCAACAGAAAAAUAUAACCUUGUGUUAGAGAACAUUUAUUGUAGCUUAUUUAGUGUUUCUUUUAAUAGAUAAGUUUCAAUAAAUGCA
This is a long non-coding RNA of Lotus japonicus, 533 nucleotides long. RefSeq lists it as uncharacterized. The record is from RefSeq and is a predicted model, not a curated record. NCBI's taxonomy places the organism in Eukaryota, Viridiplantae, Streptophyta, Magnoliopsida, Fabales, Fabaceae. The transcript is spliced from 2 exons.